ACUAGAAUAGUAAACAACGGAACUUUACUAUUUCGCAUUGUGAACAUUAUGAUAGUUGGAGACUUUUACUUCAUGCAUAGUUGCUUCAUACUAAUGCUAUUUAUGCUAAGUAGAGAUAUCAUGUUGUAGUAAGUUACAUUUUUACUUACCUUUCGCUUUUCUACAUUUAUAGUCACUGACAUCUUUUGUAGCUUUGGGCCUUGUGGUGCAUUCACUGAAGUCAGUAAUUGCCCACUGGGAACUAUUUUUAAUAGUUCUCACGCCCCCGUUUUAUGGUUUACUUUUCAGAGCCUUCGGCACAGGCGGAGGCACGGGAUCGCGGCAAGGGGAUCGCUUAGCUAGCUAGCGAGGAGCGGUACUUUGCCUAGGUGGUUUACUCUUUCUUUUUGUAGUUGAGAGAGUGAGAGGUUUUUGUAUCC
RNAcentral lists this long non-coding RNA (419 nucleotides) under Ananas comosus (pineapple). RNAcentral describes it as "long non-coding RNA (ACOM_LNC039566)". The record is from RNAcentral. Lineage: Eukaryota; Viridiplantae; Streptophyta; Magnoliopsida; Poales; Bromeliaceae.